CCGCCGCCUCUGAAUCCCUCUUCUUUUCUUCAACUCUCUCUGAAUCUCCUACAAACCCUAGCCACCGCCAUCGAGCUACACCCUAAUCCACCCUGAUACCUACCUAAUCCAUUGCCUUCUAUGGUCAUUUGAGGCUUGUACCAGCCUUCCAUGGCUUCUAUGUGUUUGGUUCUAUGGUUUCACGACUAGACUUCGAAGGAGUUUGGUCCAGUCCUUGCUCGACUGGUGUUCAUGGCCUUUCUCUGACCAUCCACGACCUUUUCCGGCCAUUCAUGGUCUUUCAAGGCGGGUCCUUGACCAUUCUGGUUAGAUUGUUAACUUUCAAGAUCUUUCUCAUUUCUUUUGGGUUUUCUGAAACCCUAAUCUCUAAGAUCUUUCGAUUUCUUUCAGAUCUACCUUAGAUCUAUGCUUAUCUUGAGCUUGUAAGCAUUUCUUCUCGAAGGUUCUGUAACUUUGCCUUCAAAACGACUCUUUAUCUUUUCUGAUUAGGGUUUUUCUUUUAUGUUAUUUCAAAAAAUCUCCUAUGAUUUUAACGUGUUUUUGAUCUUGCUAUGUUUUGCUCAUGUUGUUCUUUUAUCUGAAUUAGCAUGUUUAAAACCCUAAUUUCUUUUUGGCCUCAGUUGAGUUCUUGAAGCUGUUUGUUAGAUGUGUACAUGUUUGUUUAAGUUCUUGCUUGAUUCAUCUGUUUACCCUCUUUUGAACUCGUUUGUUGUUGAAAACUCUAGGUCUUUGGGUCAGGAAUUGUUGUCUGAACACUUGACUCGAUUGAAAGUUCUUGUUUCAGACUCUCUUUUCUUAUGUGACUUAUUUGAUUUUUACUAUCAUUCUAAAUCAACUUUUGUCGAAAACCCUAACCUCUCAAAAGAUUUCCUCACCUGUUACUAUGAGACCUUUGCAUGUUUCUGAUACCGUGUUUUCUUCGUUGUUGAUUCAAAGUGGCUUGACCUACUUGAUUACUAUGCUUCGAAUGUUUGCUUUACUACUGAACCCUAGUUUAUUUCUACCACUACUGCAUGUUUGUGAUUAUCUCGUUUGUCAAUAUGUUUGGCCUCGCAUGUCUGAUGACCCUGUUCACUUUAUUUAUAUGCUGAAGCCUCUUCUUUGAUUGAUCUUAGUCAUGUGACUAGUUACAAUGUUUUUCUUUUAUGAGCCCUCAUUUCACUCGCCUGUUUGAAAUUGAUUGAUUCUUUUCCUUUCCUGUAAUAUUUUGCCUUACUUAAUCUUUUUCCAAAAUAAACAUAUUUCUGUACUUAGACUCGAUUGCUUACUUAAUGUUUUUACUACUCCUUUUAUGGCAAUAAUUAGUCUAUCUUUAAACUGAUUUCCUUGCCUUAUUUGAAUCUGUUACUACCCGUUUAAUAGUGAUUCCUUAAUUAAAGGGGAAUUACUCGGUUAAUUGAUUCUGACCGGAGAUUGUUUCUAUAUUUGUGUUAAGACUAUACUUGUUACCUUAUUUCUCACCUAUUUUCAAAGCUAUAAAUACCCUGCACCUUUUCUUCUUUCAAAGACAAACCACAUGAGUUUAGAACACACACUUCACUCAAAACUCUCUCUCUCUCUUUUUCUGUUACUGCUUGGGUUGCUACCUUGUCUAGCCGGCUGGAAGUCAAGGCUAGGCUAUGGGAAAUUUGCUUACUUUUCCUUCUCUACAUUUGCUUCUUUACUGGUAUGUCCUAAUUAAUUUUCUAGCAUCAACAUCAAUAUGUUUCUUUACUAUUUCCUUCACUCUGGCCUGUUUCUUGCUUGUGUUUAAUCAAGUUACAUUCACCAAGCAUGCUGUAAUUUGCCCUUCCUUUUCUGAAUUAAUGCAAUCUUCUUAUGUAUGAAUUCUGUCAGUCAUUUAUUAUGACUUAUGAAUCCCAAACCCCCAUAUCCCCUAUGUGUUUUUAUUCUUUGGUUGGUUUGAGGGCAUGUCAGUAUUAGAUAUUGCUGGGCAUGACCCAAACCUGACCCUCCCUAGGGUCGUAUGCUUCAUAUCCCCUCUAUGUGUUGUGUUCUCUGGCUGGUUUAUGGGUAUGCCAACACCAGCUAUUGCUGUGAAUGUCCAAACCUGACCCCUCUUAGGGUCACAAGCUCCUUGCAAUGUAUUCCCAAACCCCUGACCCCUUUUGUAUAAAAAAUGCUGAUUCUGUGUAGUGUUAGUUUUACUGCUACUGUUUUCAAAUUACCCUGACCCCCUUACUAUUCUCAACCCAGUUUUAAACAAAUCUCUGCCUCUGCACUUCCACUAUACUCUUAGACUUAGGUUCUGCCCCUCUUGUGUGAGCCUUGCCUUGGGACCCAUGAGCUCCCUCUGAACUUGGACACAUAAGGGCUGGCCCUUCUACACUGCACUCAUCUCUAUAUGAUUAUGCAGACUUGGGUGUAAGCACUGCUCGGCGUCUCUUGAUACCCUUAGGGAACUUUGACAAACUCAAGUCUGAGAAAGGCUUUGGAACCAAUGGCAUUUGAGGUGGUUUAUUCCAUAACUCAGAGAGGAAGUCAAGAAUUAGGCUUCCUAUUGUUGUAACUUCUUGUUCUACACUGUUCUAAUGUAAUUCAAUAUUUGGUCUGUAAUAAUUUGUAACAAAUAUUGGGGGUUGUUUAGUGAAAAAGUGAUGGGUAAUUAUGCAUGUUUAGUUAUUAGAAGGG
Molecule: long non-coding RNA, 2631 nt
Filed under: Nicotiana tabacum (common tobacco)
Lineage: Eukaryota; Viridiplantae; Streptophyta; Magnoliopsida; Solanales; Solanaceae
Description: long non-coding RNA (NTAB_LNC002828)
Source: RNAcentral